AUGGCUCAGAUUGAACGCUGGCGGCAGGCCUAACACAUG
This 39-nucleotide ribosomal RNA is filed under the name Brenneria alni DSM 11811. Its description in RNAcentral is "partial 16S ribosomal RNA". The record is from RNAcentral. Lineage: Bacteria; Pseudomonadati; Pseudomonadota; Gammaproteobacteria; Enterobacterales; Pectobacteriaceae. RNAcentral also lists the same sequence under 1 other name.